AUUGAACGCUGGCGGCAGGCCUAACACAUGCAAGUCGAGCGGAUGAAGGGAGCUUGCUCCUGGUUUCAGCGUCGGACGGGUGAGUAAUGCCUAGGAAUCUGCCUCGUAUUGCGUUAUAACGUCCUCAAACGGGCGCUAAUACCGCAUACUUCCUGCGGGGGCAAGUUGGUGAUCUUCGGACCUCACGCUCUCAUAUGAGCCUACGUCGGAUUAGCUAGUUGGUUGGGUAAGGGCCUACCAAGGCGACGAUCCGUAACUGGUCUGAGAGGAUGAUCAGUCACACUGGAACGGAGACAGGGUAAAGACUACUAAGGGAGGCAGCAGUGGGGAAUAUUGGACAAUGGGCGAAAGCAUGAUACAGCCAGGCCGAGUGUGAGAAGAAGGUCUUCGGAGUGUAAAGAACUUUAAGUUGGGAGGAAGGGCAGUAAGUUAAUACCUUGCGGGUGUGACGUUACCAACAGAAUAAGCACCGGCUAACUACGUG
This 484-nucleotide ribosomal RNA is filed under the name uncultured bacterium. RNAcentral describes it as "partial 16S ribosomal RNA". It matches the Rfam family "Bacterial small subunit ribosomal RNA", at positions 30 to 507 of the family's 1533-position model. The record is from RNAcentral.